This is a long non-coding RNA of Gallus gallus (chicken), 1978 nucleotides long. NCBI's taxonomy places the organism in Eukaryota, Metazoa, Chordata, Aves, Galliformes, Phasianidae. The record is from Ensembl.
AAAGGUCUCUAGGAACAGCGGCCAUCCUCUCCGAUUUUCCAUAGCGGAAAUCCAGGAGUAUAUAUAUUUCCGAUUUAAGUUGGAAAAGAGCCUCGUUUACGAGAUUUUUAUUUUUUUCACCCUAACAGACUCAUCAGCACUACUGAAAACCCUGUUAAAACCAGUAACUACUUAUGCUCUGCUCUGAGGAUUUUCACCUGCUAGUGUCCAGCAUUACUGGCAGCACUACAACAGCAUAUUUUCCCCAUUGAAAUAAUAGACAAGAAUAAUACCGUCUGUGUCCACUUCCUUGGUUGCUUCUGGUUGGCUUCAGCUUCACUAAGUUUGAAGUCAGCCUGAUUUUCUACAGAAAUCAGUGGUCCUAAUCAACAGCAGCCUGCUCCUGUUGGCAACCCACCUGAGCAGGAGAGAUGAACAAGCUGACCUCCAGAGGACCCUUCCUACCUCAGCCAUUCUGUGGUUCUAGGCUAACAGUUCCCCAUGUCCCUAAGAAAGCAGUCCAAGAAGUUUAUUCUGCUGACACAAAAUAAACAUGGUAUUGGCAGAAAGGCACAACACAAGUCACCAAAUAGCAGGCACAUCAGUUUGCACAGGAAACCAGGCCAUUACUUGAGGAGUACAAUAGCAUUUGUGGAGACAAGCUGGAGAAACCUACCUACACCCCACAUCUCCUUUCAGUGCUGCAAACCCAGAGAAGAUAAAUCAUGGUUGAUGUGAUUUGCUUUUCUCUCAUGUGCUUUCACCAGCCCUGAGAUCCUCACUAGACAAAGGCUUACUAUGUCUGCCAUCGGGCUCUGUCAGCCCAUCUUCCUGAAUGACCAUGCUGGGGUGCAAUUCUGACACAGACAGGGCAUCAGUGUACACAGGUGCCUCUACAGUCCAAGCAUUUGUGCCCCACAGAGCAUCAGGGCCCAGCAUCAGCAAUCAGUCAGCAUGCCUUCUGACCAACCAGCUUUGUAAUGUCAGGAGGUUUUAUCUUCCCAUAUUGAUGUGUUUGUAUGCCCUGAGGCACCAUAUGGAAGCAGACUUUGCUGAAGCUUUGGAAUUCAGGCUCCACUGGAAAGGAAACAACUCCCGUUAACAUUUGUUUUCCACAUUUUUGUUUGCUUUCUUUAAUUAAAAUAGAUUACUCACAAAAACUACUUCAGCAAACUAGAUCCAACGCAUCUUAAAUUCCCAAACCAAAUUCAUCCCUGGAUCUAUCUGGUAUUCCUCUAGAAGAUCUAACAAAUUGUGGUGUAAAUAGCAAUCACUCCUGGAGGCAGCGCUGCUGGGGAAUUACUGGGACUGUGUCCUCCGGGGAAGGUCCUGCCAGGCUGGGUGCAAGGACACAGGUUUAUUACACAGUUCUUCCUCCAGAUCACGGCUGUGUUUUGCUUUAAAGACUCUUCCCAAUCAGCUGGGCCCAAUCAAGGACCUACUGCAGGAGAUUCAAGAGCCAUUUCCAGAAGCUGUAUGGUCAAAGCCCUUCAGACAUCACCCAUCUGGGGCAUGAGGUGGGGGUCACAGGAACAGGUCCGGGAGUAGAAGUCUGAAAGUUGCUUCAUCAACUUUAAUGCUUAAGCAAGAAGUAAUUUACUCUGUGCGUUGAGUUCAGGCCUUGCAAACUGCAUCCUAUCCGUGGUGGUGCUCAAGGCCAGGCUGGAUGGGCCCAGAGCAGCCUGAUCUGCUACGAGGCAGCCCUGCUUGGAGCGGGGGGAUGGGACUGAGCGGUCCGCAGGUAUGCAGGGUGCAGCUUUGCCUGCUGUUUGGUUGUGGAGCACACCUGGUAAAUGGGACAGGGUCUGUGAGGCCCUGGAUGGGCGUGGGGGACAAGCAGUGUGUUUUGUUACUUAGAAAUGUAAUGCAACAUCAUUACAUAAAAGAGGUUGAUUAAAUCCCUGUAUGGAACUCUGCAAUUUCUUACUGUAUUUCCAGAGUAGUCAAUUUUACACCCUUAUGUAAUAAAAUAGCUAGUAAGAAAUGUAAGGAUGAGAAU